This 253-nucleotide ribosomal RNA is filed under the name uncultured bacterium. RNAcentral's name for it is "partial 16S ribosomal RNA". It matches the Rfam family "Bacterial small subunit ribosomal RNA", at positions 524 to 776 of the family's 1533-position model. The record is from RNAcentral.
UACGUAGGCAGCGAGCGUUGUUCGGAAUUACUGGGCGUAGAGAGUGUGUAGGCGGUGCUCUAAGUUCGGUGUGAAAUCUCCCGGCUUAACUGGGAGGGUGCGCCGGAAACUGGAGUGCUCGAGCGUGGGAGAGGAAAGCGGAAUUCCUGGUGUAGCGGUGAAAUGCGUAGAUAUCAGGAGGAACACCUGCGGUGUAGACGGCUUUCUGGACCAUUGCUGACGCUGAGACACGAAAGCGUGGGUAGCAAACAGG